Non-coding RNA from Cordylochernes scorpioides, 77 nucleotides. Lineage: Eukaryota; Metazoa; Arthropoda; Arachnida; Pseudoscorpiones; Chernetidae. The record is from the annotation of a GenBank genome assembly.
UGGGGGGUCGGUGGAAGGCUGGUUAAACCGUUUGGUUUUCGACCACUACGACCCGGGUUCGAUCCCCGGGUUCUGAU